Molecule: unclassified non-coding RNA, 1505 nt
Filed under: Leishmania donovani
Lineage: Eukaryota; Euglenozoa; Kinetoplastea; Trypanosomatida; Trypanosomatidae
Description: gene:LdHU3.24.0650(CDS-product:hypothetical_prote in_conserved)
Source: RNAcentral
AUACGCGUACACCGAUACGCACACGCCCGCACCUCCAACGCCCACUUGGCUGGCUCAUUCCGCCUUGCCAGCGACCUCCCUACGCCGCACGACCGCGUCAGGUACUCAUAGAGACUCAUACACGCACGCACACAUAGAGGCUCACAGGUCCAUCUUCGCAUGGAGCCCUAUGCAUCGCCGGCGGCGGUGCCACCGCCUCAUGUCGUGUAUGAUGCACUGAGUAAGGCGCAGAAGGCGGCACCGCAACUGAGGCCGAUUCCCGCCUUCGAAGUGUAUAAGGUAGCGCGGGAAGAGGAGCUGGCCGCCUACCGUAUGCUGUGUCGCGUACUUUUCAUGCAUCACGGCACCCCACUUCCCAAGGCGCAGCAGCGCAUCCUCGAUGACAUGGGCGAAGAGCUGUGUAUUGGGCAAACGCGGCAGGGACUGGAGAAAGAAAUGGCGGAGCAGGACAAGGUGCUGCAAGGCAUUCGCAAAUCCGGCGUGCUGCGGCGCCGCGGCGACUUCACCGAUGGUGUGGAAGAGAUGACCGUGGAAGACUACCUCACCGAGGCUCCGAAGGACGACGGCAACGGCCUCUACACGCCCACCCCCAAGGCGCGUCGCGUUGACGGGGCAGACCCCGGCGCCACACGAGCAACAGUCAUCGCUGCCGCCGCCGGUUUGGGCGCCAAGCGCAAAGGUAACGUGCACGCCGUUGUGUCGAAGCUGGCGAAGGAGGUUGAGACUGCCGGCAAGAGCCUGCUGUAUGCGAGCAGCGCCCAGGAAGAGCAGCAGCUUAUCCAAGUCCUUCAGCAAAAACGUGAGUUGCUGGUGGCGCUGAGAGAGGAGCUGACAGAGGCGUAGAAGGGCCAGGGCGAGCACGAAAAAAAAAAGGAAACUUACACAGUCACACACACACGCAUGCGCGCGCGGCUGCUAAACAAAUGGCGAAGCUGCGACGGAGGUGCAGGUUCGCUGUGCGUGAUGGUGCGCGCAUGUGUCUGCGCGGUGCCUGAUAACGGCUCAUUCGCAGUGCUCAGGGUGCUGUGCUGCUGCAGUGGUGUCCUCCUUCUGCCCCACGUUCUCUAUUUUUUUCGCAUCCUUCAAUGCUGGUCAGCCUCCUUUUGACUUGCACACACACACACACACACGCACACGCGGAGAACGGCAGAACGAAGCACGCAGAGGCGCGGUGUAGUGUGUGAGGAGGAGGCCCAGAUGUAGGGCUCAAAGGGCAACAGCGAUCGACAGAGGUGCUGCCGCGGGAUAACAAGCGCAUGCCGCUUCAGGCCGAAAAGAAGAUAACUGGAGAUCAGACGGACGCUGCAAACAAGCGAAGAGCCACUGCGAGAAGGAACUUUGUGUAGGCGUAAGGAGUGGGUGAACGGAUGGCACACACACACACACACACACACAAACCUUCUCUCUUCGAUGCCCACGCACCGCCGUGCGCCCCCACCCACCUCACCCCCACCCCUUCUUGCUCUGGCCCUCUCUCGCGCUGGUCACCCAUCUCUCACAAACAG